ACGAUGUCGACUUGGAGGUUGUGCCCUUGAGGCGUGGCUUCCGGAGCUAACGCGUUAAGUCGACCGCCUGGGGAGUACGGCCGCAAGGUUAAAACUCAAAUGAAUUGACGGGGGCCCGCACAAGCGGUGGAGCAUGUGGUUUAAUUCGAUGCAACGCGAAGAACCUUACCUGGUCUUGACAUCCACGGAAGUUUUCAGAGAUGAGAAUGUGCCUUCGGGAACCGUGAGACAGGUGCUGCAUGGCUGUCGUCAGCUCGUGUUGUGAAAUGUUGGGUUAAGUCCCGCAACGAGCGCAACCCUUAUCCUUUGUUGCCAGCGGUCCGGCCGGGAACUCAAAGGAGACUGCCAGUGAUAAACUGGAGGAAGGUGGGGAUGACGUCAAGUCAUCAUGGCCCUUACGACCAGGGCUACACACGUGCUACAAUGGCGCAUACAAAGAGAAGCGACCUCGCGAGAGCAAGCGGACCUCAUAAAGUGCGUCGUAGUCCGGAUUGGAGUCUGCAACUCGACUCCAUGAAGUCGGAAUCGCUAGUAAUCGUGGAUCAGAAUGCCACGGUGAA
Molecule: ribosomal RNA, 560 nt
Filed under: Alcanivorax sp.
Lineage: Bacteria; Pseudomonadati; Pseudomonadota; Gammaproteobacteria; Oceanospirillales; Alcanivoracaceae
Description: bacterial SSU rRNA
Rfam family: Bacterial small subunit ribosomal RNA
Source: RNAcentral